UUGAANUGGGCGCAGCCUGAUCCAGCCAUGCCGCGUGGGUGAUGAAGGCCCUAGGGUUGUAAAGCCCUUUCGGCGGGGAAGAUAAUGACGGUACCCGCAGAAGAAGCCCCGGCUAACUUCGUGCCAGCAGCCGCGGUAAUACGAAGGGGGCUAGCGUUGCUCGGAAUCACUGGGCGUAAAGCGCACGUAGGCGGCUUUUUAAGUCAGGGGUGAAAUCCUGGAGCUCAACUCCAGAACUGCCUUUGAUACUGAGAAGCUCGAGUCCGGGAGAGGUGAGUGGAACUGCGAGUGUAGAGGUGAAAUUCGUAGAUAUUCGCAAGAACACCAGUGGCGAAGGCGGCUCACUGGCCCGGUACUGACGCUGAGGUGCGAAAGCGUGGGGAGCAAACAGGAUUAGAUACCCCGGUAGUCCACGCCGUAAACGAUGGAUGCUAGCCGUUGUCGGGUUUACUCGUCAGUGGCGCAGCUAACGCAUUAAGCAUCCCGCCUGGGGAGUACGGUCGCAAGAUUAAAACUCAAAGGAAUUGACGGA
This 532-nucleotide ribosomal RNA is filed under the name uncultured bacterium. RNAcentral's name for it is "bacterial SSU rRNA". It matches the Rfam family "Bacterial small subunit ribosomal RNA", at positions 364 to 917 of the family's 1533-position model. The record is from RNAcentral.